GAAAUAUCUUCAGUUUCCAAUUUUGCCCUCGUCACUCACUCCUCCCACUCACUCAUUCCCCUCCCUCUCGCUCGACUCGCUCGUUCCCCUUUUCUCGCCUCCGACGAAAUCCCUAGCUCGUCUCGCCUCCGACACUCACGUCGUCGCCGCUAGCUUGCCUAUCACCCGCGUCGUCGCUGCUCGCCUCCCUCUCCCCCGCGUCGUCCGGGCUGCCUUCACUGGUGCCGUCGCCUCUCACUCUUGCCCGCAUCGCCUGCACCAGCAAGGUCGCCACAAAGUUUGAUUUUUUACUGAAGGGGAGGCGAGAGCCUGUGGGAGGAGCUAUGCCGACGGCUGGGUCUGAAGCGGCUGGUCGUCUCACCGUGAGCACGAGGGGGAGGGGCGGGAGGAGCACGAGCGAGCGGCUGUUUUAGAUGAGGAGGAGCGGAGGCGGCAGUGACAUGGUGCAGGCGACGCUCCAUCUGCUGCUGAGUAUGACGAGUGGAGGAGGAGCAGGAGGACGUCGGCGCCGUCGGUGAGCAUUCCUCUCUGUAGAUCUGAUUGCUUGCCGCAUGCUUGUUGAGUAUUGCAAACUUGCUCCUCUUUGAUGAUGAUGAAACAGAGAUCUGACUGAAUUUCUCGCAUGCCUUGUCCUGAAUGUUGAUUAUGUGAAUGUUCACAGGAACGUGGAGAACAAUCAAUUCACAGGAUCAAUCCCAGAGAAGAUGCUCACCAUCCCAAAAUUGGUGUAGAAGAAAGGACAACCACUUAACUAUUCAAUUUCUGCAGAAGAAAGGACAAUCAUUUAACCAUUCUGAUCCGCGGUUCCUCUCCGACCGACAGUGAGUUGCUGUUUGUACUCCCAUGUUCUUUUGCUUGUACUGCUAGAGUGCUUGUGCUUGUGCUGCUAUAUCUUCUGGUGGUGCUAGAUUAAUAUGAGUGGGAGUAGAGUACAAGCAGUAGUUAGAGUGCUUGCUCAGAGUAGGAUUUCUGUUAGGAGUAGUUAGAGUACUCUACUGGAAGUCUGAAAGUACUCCUUGUAAGAGUAGUUAGAGUUCUUGCUCAAAGUAGGAUUUCAUUUAGGAGUCCAGUUGAGCAAGUUUACAAGUUGUAGAGCAAAAUGCUCUACUGAAACGAAUAAUACGCUAUAAAUAACGUGCACUCCUAAUAAAUAACAGACCAUUUUGUAUGGAGCAAGUUAACAGACCAUUUUGUUUCAAAUAAAUAACAAGCCAUUUUUCAAAUAAAUAACGUGUUUUAUAUAGUUGUCCUAAAAUGUUUGUUCUAUGAUGCCGGUCCUAAAAUCUGAUUGCGAGCAGACCUUGAAGAAAAUGUGCCUUGCGUCCAUAUUUCAGCCGCAUGUAAACUACCCCAAGUGCUGGAAGGUGAUCCAGCUCAGUAUAGUAUGCCGAAGCGCGUGAUCCACUCACCACGCCUUGUAAAUUCAGAAACUUCAGUAAAUUUACAGUAAAUUCAGCACUGUAGGAGUACAUUCAACGUAAGCAUUGCCAUGUAAGCAGCAUAUCUCUGCUCAUCUGUUAGUGAAUUUCUUUGCCUUCGUAUUUGAUGAACACCUACAAUAGCAAAAGAAAAAUAGGAAAAUUAGGGAAACUGUGGUAGAAUAAGAAAGCUAUGAAAAAUCAAUUCAACUAAAUUCAUUUCAACCAUGAUCAUAUCAGCAAGAUAAUCCAAUAAUGAUCUUGAAAAUCUAUGGUGAAAAAUCAUUCUAGCAAAUCUUGAAUAAGCCAAUCAUGGUUGGGUUAAUCCUGCUAGUCAUUCUAGCCAAUCAUUGUAGAACAGCAAAUCAUGCUCUUGGAUAAGCUAAUCAGUCUAGCAAAAUCUUGUUAACAACAAGCAAAGAAACUGCUAACAUAUGAGCAGUAUCAUCGAGUAUAUGCUGUUGGCCCCUGUGUCAAGUGUCAUAAUUCAAGUGUAAUGAACAGAGGCAGAUCUUGACAGAGCUUGACAAUGGAGUACACUUGACUUGGUUACUCUCAUUUAAAGCACUAGGAGUAGGAUGCAUAUGCAUAUGCCAACAUCAGGAGUACUCCUGUACAACAUCGGGAGUAGGAUGCAUAUGCAUAUGCCAACAACUAAAAGAAGAUGCACUGCUAUACAAGUUCAUUUAUACUGCAAAUACACAAAAUUAGGAGUACUAUACCCUGGAGUAAUUAGUGCAAUUUCACUGUUUAAUCAAACAGUACAUGAUUAAGGAGUAUUUCAGCAAGUUUAAUUUCAGUUACAAACAGUACAUGAUCAAUUGGAAACAUGAUCAAGGAGUAUGUGUAUGGAGUACCUCCUGCUGCAGCUUCUUCUUGGAGAUCUGCUUCAUCUUCUUGGAUCAUAUUCACAUCAACAUCUUCUUCUGCAGGUGGUGAGCAGUUCAGAUCUGGAAGCACCAUACUGUGAUGUUGCUGUUGUGAUGUUCAGGUACUGUUGCUAUUGCUGUUGUGCUGGUGCUCUACUUUUCCUCUUGCUACUGCUGCUAUGAUGAGAAAUUCUUAUCGGUGCUCUUGCUAUGAUGAGAAAUUCUCCUGUUUGUGCUACUCCUGCAUGAUGAGUACUCCACUGUUGUGCUGGGCUCCACUUUUCCUCUUGUUGGUGCUCUUGCUAUGAUCAAGGAGUACUUUAUGACCUGCACCUGCUGUUGUACUGAGAAAUUGUACUCCUGUGCUGAUUUGCACCUGCUGUUGUACUGAGAAAUUGUACUCCUGUGUUGAUUUACACCUGCUAUUGUACACUGUUGAUCUGCUCUUCCUACUGUUGUGCACCUGUGAUCUCCUGAACUGCUGUUGUGCUAUGAUGAGAAUUUAUUCUUGCUGUUGUUGUACUCCUUGAUCCAGCUGCUAUGAUGAAUUCUUGCUGUUGAUCAUGUUGCUGAAUUCUUGCAAGGAGCACCAGGGCGAGCAGCAAGGUGGACGCAGCGGGGAGCACCUGCGAGCAGCAAGGUGGGCGCAGCGGGGAUCACCUAGGCGAGUAGCAAGGGAGGGCUCCCUGGGUGCAGUGGCAAGGGAGGGCGCCCUGGCGCGGCAAGGGAGGGCCUGGGCGUGGCUGGGAGGGCCUAGGCGCGGAGAGGAUGGCCUGCGCGCGGCCUGGGGACCGAAGCUGGGCGGCGAGGACGAGCGCCUGGGCGCGGCCUGGGGACCGAAGCUGGACGGCGAGGACGAGCGCCUGGAUGCGGGGCUGAUGCGGGGACGUGAGGAAGAAGACGACUGGUUUGAAAUUCAAAUCAAGGGCAUAAUUGUCUAUUUGCACUUUUGUCGGCUGUGUGUGAAAAUCCCUCAACGUCUUAUAAUUCUUUCCAGAGGGAGUACUUAACUAAGUCUUAGUCGAUUCUAUAUUCGUGAGAUCUUACGUGGAGAUCUGUGCAAUUUUUUACAUAUGUUAUGUUACUUGAGUGAGAUUUGGUGACUUGGUUAAGUCUCAGUCAACUGAUAUCUAGUCACACCCUUCAUGUUAUUAUUGUUUAUGUGUAUCUUGGAUCUUCAAUUAUCUUGGAUCUAGUCACAUAAGUUAAGCGAAUUAUUUGAAAAAUAUCCUCAACUGUCUGCAAAUGAUUAUGUUUAUACUGCGUUUCUCUUAC
This 3562-nucleotide long non-coding RNA is filed under the name Triticum aestivum (bread wheat). Its description in RNAcentral is "long non-coding RNA (TAES_LNC015252)". Lineage: Eukaryota; Viridiplantae; Streptophyta; Magnoliopsida; Poales; Poaceae. The record is from RNAcentral.